Triticum aestivum (bread wheat) is the source of this 115-nucleotide non-coding RNA. Lineage: Eukaryota; Viridiplantae; Streptophyta; Magnoliopsida; Poales; Poaceae. The record is from Rfam.
UUUCUACUCCCUCCGUUCCAUAUUAGUUGUCGCUCAAACAGAUGUAUCUAGCACUGAAAUACGUCUAGAUACAUCCGUUUCGGCGACAACUAAUAUGGAACGGAGGGAGUACAUA